RNAcentral lists this ribosomal RNA (402 nucleotides) under uncultured bacterium. RNAcentral's name for it is "bacterial SSU rRNA". It matches the Rfam family "Bacterial small subunit ribosomal RNA", at positions 505 to 906 of the family's 1533-position model. The record is from RNAcentral.
GUGGCAGCCGCCGCGGUAAUACGUAGGGUCCAAGCGUUAAUCGGAAUUACUGGGCGUAAAGCGUAGCGCAGGCGGUUGUGCAAGACCGAUGUGAAAUCCCCGGGCUUAACCUGGGAAUUGCAUUGGUGACUGCACGGCUAGAGUGUGUCAGAGGGGGGGUAGAAUUCCACGUGUAGCAGUGAAAUGCGUAGAGAUGUGGAGGAAUACCGAUGGCGAAGGCAGCCCCCUGGGAUAACACUGACGCUCAUGCACGAAAGCGUGGGGAGCAAACAGGAUUAGAUACCCUGGUAGUCCACGCCCUAAACGAUGUCAACUAGUUGUUGGGGAUUCAUUUCCUUAGUAACGUAGCUAACGCGUGAAGUUGACCGCCUGGGGAUACGGUCGCAAGAUUAAAACUUAAAG